ACUUGUCUGAAUUUUCCUUUGCUUAUUUCUUGUUUUUAUUGUAUUUGCCAACUUUCUAUUGUGGUCCAUGGAUGAAAAAGAGAUGCUAGAUUAUACAGAUGAGGAAAAAGCAAUGGACACUGGUCAGGAAACUGAAG
Long non-coding RNA from Xenia sp. Carnegie-2017, 137 nucleotides. RefSeq lists it as uncharacterized. NCBI's taxonomy places the organism in Eukaryota, Metazoa, Cnidaria, Anthozoa, Malacalcyonacea, Xeniidae. The record is from RefSeq and is a predicted model, not a curated record. The transcript has 3 exons.